This 511-nucleotide ribosomal RNA is filed under the name uncultured bacterium. RNAcentral's name for it is "bacterial SSU rRNA". It matches the Rfam family "Bacterial small subunit ribosomal RNA", at positions 15 to 518 of the family's 1533-position model. The record is from RNAcentral.
GAUCAUGGCUCAGGAUGAACGCUAGCGACAGGCUUAACACAUGCAAGUCGAGGGGCAGCAUAGAAGUAGCAAUACUUGGUGGCGACCGGCGCACGGGUGAGUAACGCGUAUGCAACCUACCUAUCAGAGGGGAAUAACCCGGCGAAAGUCGGACUAAUACCGCAUAAAACAGGGGCACCGCAUGGUGAUAUUUGUUAAAGAAAUUCGCUGAUAGAUGGGCAUGCGUUCCAUUAGGUAGUUGGUGAGGUAACGGCUCACCAAGCCGACGAUGGAUAGGGGAACUGAGAGGUUGGUCCCCCACACUGGUACUGAGACACGGACCAGACUCCUACGGGAGGCAGCAGUGAGGAAUAUUGGUCAAUGGGCGGGAGCCUGAACCAGCCAAGUCGCCGUGAAGGAAGAAGGAUCUAUGGUUCGUAAACUUCUUUUGCAGGGGAAUAAAGUGCAGGACGUGUCCUGUUUUGUAUGUACCCUGAGAAUAAGGAUCGGCUAACUCCGUGCCAGCCGCUGC